GUUUGAAGGUGCAAUUUGGCCAUGUCAUUUUGUGGGUUUAGUACCUUGAACUUGAAAGUUGAUGCCUUUGCCUUAAGGGGUUUGUCUAGCCUAGACAUCUUCUUUCUCCAUUAUUCUGCCUUCUCUCUUCUUUACCCUGAAGAAUUGGGAAAGAAAAGUUAAUAAUAGGCUAAAGCUGGGAGCAUUUCCUUUUUAAUCACGAAAAUCCUGGGGUGAACUUCUUAAAAUUACCUGGUUUCUGAUAUUUUAAUUAAUGUUACUAUUUUUCCUACCACGUUUAUAUUGCCCCCAGGGAACACUUUUUUCCUUCCCUUUCCUACAUGGAAUUCUACAAAGAUUCCUCUACAAUUAAUGCAGCAAAAAUAAGAAAACAGCAGGAAAGGUUUAAAGUUGGAGAGACAUUCUCAAACUUCUCUCAAGUAGUAAAAUAUGAUUCAGAGAUGCAAAGAAGUGAAAACCAGAUGUCAAACUUAAAAGCCUAAAUACAAAAGUACCUACAGCUAUUGUGUGCCAGUGGACUUCACAAGUGCCACAGCAUAUCUGUGGCACUGCCAGGUGCCAAAAUUUCCAAAAUACAGCUGAGGAACCUGUGGCAAGGACAGACCACAAGACUUAUUAAGAAUCACAUGAGAAGAUAUUGCUGUUGGGUCCUGGUAAAUAGGAGAUGUGGGCUGGAUUCAUGUCUCCAGCCCAGAAAUCUGGUUUCCCCUCUGAUGUUUGACUGUUGACAAACAAAUUGUUUAGAUUAAAAAUAAAGGGAAAACAACACUGAAAAUUAUUGGUUGACUUC
Long non-coding RNA from Parus major (Great Tit), 790 nucleotides. RefSeq lists it as uncharacterized. The transcript has 3 exons. The record is from RefSeq and is a predicted model, not a curated record. NCBI's taxonomy places the organism in Eukaryota, Metazoa, Chordata, Aves, Passeriformes, Paridae.